This 329-nucleotide ribosomal RNA is filed under the name Mesabolivar azureus. RNAcentral describes it as "partial 12S ribosomal RNA". Lineage: Eukaryota; Metazoa; Arthropoda; Arachnida; Araneae; Pholcidae. The record is from RNAcentral.
AGAAUAAAAAAUAGUGGGGUAGUAGAAACACACUAAACCUAUAAAGCUUGGCAGUUAUUAUUUAACAGAGAAACUUGUUUUUUAAUCGACAACACUCGAUAAAUUUAACUUAUAAAUUUAAAGCUUAUAUACCGCCGUUACAGAAACAAAAAAUUAAAUAUCAUAAUAAAAAUCUUUAAAAAAUCAGGUCAUGGUAUAGCCCAUAAAUAAGUAAAAAUUAGUUACAAAUAAAAAAAAUUUAAGGAAGUUUUAUUAAAAAACAAACAAUAAAUAGAAUCUAUAAACAAUAAUAAAUUAAAAAUAAAUAAUGAAAUAAAAAAUAAUAAUGC